This 68-nucleotide transfer RNA is filed under the name Marmota monax (woodchuck). RNAcentral's name for it is "tRNA.Ala". Lineage: Eukaryota; Metazoa; Chordata; Mammalia; Rodentia; Sciuridae. The record is from RNAcentral.
GGAUUGUGGCUCAGUGGUAGAGCACUUGCCUAGCACAUGCAAAGCCCUGGGUUCGAUCCUUAGCACCA